ACGUACAUAAGUGUGAAAACUUCAUCACAAAUUAUUCUGACAAUUAAUUAAUGUGUAAUUUCUACUUUUUAAAGCACGUGACUUAUCACCGGACGAUCCAUUUAAGCACGUGGCAAUGAUAAAGCAUUUGGGUUAACCCUAAAAAAAAAAAAAAAAAGACAACAGUGUCAGUGAGAACGAUGAUUAACGCGGUAAUGUGUGAAACCAAUACAAAUUACUAUUCAAGUUAUCUCUAAUUUUGUUUUCUA
This 248-nucleotide long non-coding RNA is filed under the name Capsella rubella. Its description in RNAcentral is "long non-coding RNA (CRUB_LNC004687)". The record is from RNAcentral. Lineage: Eukaryota; Viridiplantae; Streptophyta; Magnoliopsida; Brassicales; Brassicaceae.